Molecule: transfer RNA, 74 nt
Filed under: Nannocystis exedens
Lineage: Bacteria; Pseudomonadati; Myxococcota; Nannocystales; Nannocystaceae
Also listed under: 1 other name
Description: tRNA-Gly
Rfam family: tRNA
About the family: Transfer RNA (tRNA) molecules are approximately 80 nucleotides in length. Their secondary structure includes four short double-helical elements and three loops (D, anti-codon, and T loops).
Source: RNAcentral
GCGGGAGUAGCUCAGUUGGUAGAGCACGACCUUGCCAAGGUCGGGGUCGCGAGUUCGAGUCUCGUCUCCCGCUC